GACAAACGCUGGCGGCGUACCUAAGACAUGCAAGUCGAACGGGGCUCACCGCUUCGGCGGGGAGUCGAGUGGCGAACGGGUGAGUAACACGUGGGUGAUCUGCCCUGCACUUUGGGAUAAGCCUGGGAAACUGGGUCUAAUACCGAAUACACCUCAUUGGCUGCAUGGCUGGUGGGGGAAAGCUUUUNCGGUGUGGGAUGGGCCCGCGGCCUAUCAGCUUGUUGGUGGGGUGANGGCCUACCAAGGCGACGACGGGUAGCCGGCCUGAGAGGGUGUCCGGCCACACUGGGACUGAGAUACGGCCC
Molecule: ribosomal RNA, 305 nt
Filed under: uncultured bacterium
Lineage: Bacteria
Description: bacterial SSU rRNA
Rfam family: Bacterial small subunit ribosomal RNA
Source: RNAcentral